CCUGAGUACGACGGAGCACGUGAAAUUCCGUCGGAAUCUGGGAGGACCAUCUCCUAAGGCUAAAUACUCUCUAGUGACCGAUAGUGAACCAGUACCGUGAGGGAAAGGUGAAAAGUACCCCGGAAGGGGAGUGAAAGAGAACUUGAAACCGUGUGCUUACAAGUAGUCAGAGCCCGUUAAUGGGUGAUGGCGUGCCUUUUGUAGAAUGAACCGGCGAGUUACGAUCUGAUGCAAGGUUAAGCAGAA
This 246-nucleotide ribosomal RNA is filed under the name Staphylococcus pseudintermedius. Its description in RNAcentral is "partial 23S ribosomal RNA". It matches the Rfam family "Bacterial large subunit ribosomal RNA", at positions 407 to 655 of the family's 2925-position model. Lineage: Bacteria; Bacillati; Bacillota; Bacilli; Caryophanales; Staphylococcaceae. The record is from RNAcentral.